Molecule: ribosomal RNA, 477 nt
Filed under: uncultured bacterium
Lineage: Bacteria
Description: partial 16S ribosomal RNA
Rfam family: Bacterial small subunit ribosomal RNA
Source: RNAcentral
AUUGAACGCUGGCGGCAUGCCUUACACAUGCAAGUCGAACGGUAACAGGUUAAGCUGACGAGUGGCGAACGGGUGAGUAAUACAUCGGAACGUGCCCAGUAGUGGGGGAUAGCCCGGCGAAAGCCGGAUUAAUACCGCAUACGACCUAAGGGUGAAAGGGGGGGAUCGCAAGACCUCUCGCUAUUGGAGCGGCCGAUGUCAGAUUAGCUAGUUGGUGGGGUAAAAGCUCACCAAGGCGACGAUCUGUAGCUGGUCUGAGAGGACGACCAGCCACACUGGGACUGAGACACGGCCCAGACUCCUACGGGAGGCAGCAGUGGGGAAUUUUGGACAAUGGGCGCAAGCCUGAUCCAGCCAUGCCGCGUGCGGGAAGAAGGCCUUCGGGUUGUAAACCGCCUUUGUCAGGGAAGAAAUCCUUUGGGUUAAUACCUCGGGGGGAUGACGGUACCUGAAGAAUAAGCACCGGCUAACUACGUG